GCUGGCGACCAUAGCAAGAGUGAACCACCUGAUCCCUUCCCGAACUCAGAAGUGAAACCUCUUAGCGCUGAUGGUAGUGUGGGAUUACCCAUGU
RNAcentral lists this ribosomal RNA (94 nucleotides) under Acinetobacter baumannii. RNAcentral also lists the same sequence under 1 other name. The record is from RNAcentral. Lineage: Bacteria; Pseudomonadati; Pseudomonadota; Gammaproteobacteria; Moraxellales; Moraxellaceae.